RNAcentral lists this ribosomal RNA (253 nucleotides) under uncultured bacterium. Its description in RNAcentral is "partial 16S ribosomal RNA". It matches the Rfam family "Bacterial small subunit ribosomal RNA", at positions 524 to 776 of the family's 1533-position model. The record is from RNAcentral.
UACGUAGGUGGCAAGCGUUAUCCGGAAUUAUUGGGCGUAAAGCGCGCGUAGGCGGUUUUUUAAGUCUGAUGUGAAAGCCCACGGCUCAACCGUGGAGGGUCAUUGGAAACUGGAAAACUUGAGUGCAGAAGAGGAAAGUGGAAUUCCAUGUGUAGCGGUGAAGUGCGUAGAGAUCAGGAGGAACACCAGUGGCGAAGGCGACUUUCUGGUCUGUAACUGACGCUGAUGUGCGAAAGCGUGGGGAGCAAACAGG